CUGUGCGCCAUCGCGGGCGUGCUGACCAUCGCUCUGCCCGUGCCCGUCAUCGUCUCCAAC
Regulatory RNA element from Colius striatus (speckled mousebird), 60 nucleotides. It matches the Rfam family "Potassium channel RNA editing signal", at positions 55 to 114 of the family's 114-position model. Rfam says of the family: This family represents a group of sequences related to the human potassium channel Kv1.1 hairpin element which directs the efficient modification of an adenosine to inosine by an adenosine deaminase acting on RNA (ADAR). The record is from Rfam. Lineage: Eukaryota; Metazoa; Chordata; Aves; Coliiformes; Coliidae.